RNAcentral lists this ribosomal RNA (495 nucleotides) under uncultured bacterium. Its description in RNAcentral is "partial 16S ribosomal RNA". It matches the Rfam family "Bacterial small subunit ribosomal RNA", at positions 27 to 507 of the family's 1533-position model. The record is from RNAcentral.
GGACGAACGCUGACGGCGUGCUUACCACAUGCAAGUCGAACGGUGAAGCGCCUUCCUUUUUGGUGGGUGUGGAUGAGUGGCGAACGGGUGAGUAACACGUGAGUAACCUGCCCCCUUCUUCUGGAUAACCGCAUGAAAGUGUGGCUAAUACGGGAUAUUCUGGGUCUGUCGCAUGAUGGGUCUGGGAAAGAUAUUGUUUCGGUGGGGGAUGGGCUCGCGGCCUAUCAGCUUGUUGGUGGGGUGAUGGCCUACCAAGGCGGUGACGGGUAGCCGGCCUGAGAGGGUGGACGGUCACACUGGGACUGAGACACGGCCCAGACUCCUACGGGAGGCAGCAGUGGGGAAUAUUGCACAAUGGGCGCAAGCCUGAUGCAGCGACGCCGCGUGAGGGAUGGAGGCCUUCGGGUUGUGAACCUCUUUCGCCAGUGAAGCAGGCCUGCCUCGUUUGUGGGUGGGUUGACGGUAGCUGGAUAAGAAGCGCCGGCUAACUACGUG